Molecule: long non-coding RNA, 6238 nt
Filed under: Solanum tuberosum (potato)
Lineage: Eukaryota; Viridiplantae; Streptophyta; Magnoliopsida; Solanales; Solanaceae
Description: long non-coding RNA (STUB_LNC002321)
Source: RNAcentral
UCGAGGGAGCAAUCUACAACACUAAACAUGGAUAUUAAUAUAACUGCAAGCAUGUUCUCAUCAACACCUUUGCAUACAUUUCAAGCAAUCACAAAUAUUUGUGUUCCAGUUUUUGGACGAAAUUUUCUUGAGUUUUGAAACAUAAUGUUUCUUUCAUUUCAAACUAUCAAGAAAAUGCAGGCUGAAAUUGUAUCUCAUACAUCUCUAAGGUGUUCUAUACUUUCUCGUUCAUUCAGUUUAUGAUAAAUUUCUGUAAGACUUUUAAGCAUCGCCCAUUCGAAUCUAAAUAAUGUUGGUACAUGCAGUCGCUAUAGUUGACACAUAUUCAGUCCCUUCACCAAGUGAUGACUUCAGCUUCCUUUUAAGGCACAUGUAGCAUCUUACGUAGCAAUUUUCAUCACCAUAUUUUUGCUCGAGUUAGUAACUACAAUCUACUAUACAUGUUCUUGCUAGAGUUAGUAACUGCACUCUACUCCAAUAAUUUAAUGUUGAAGAUGUUCUGCUCUUUCAAAUCUGCCUCCAACUUUAAGUUCCAGAUGUGCUAAUACUUUCUGAUAAGAAAAGAAACCAUUACCAUUUUUAAAAACCAAAUAGCUGGAGAUAUAGCUUAAUUACUCUCUUGUUUAGUAUCCACAUUUACUCUUUAAAAUAAUAUUAAUAAGACGGAGAGAAAAUCUGAUAAGCUCCAUUAAACAAAAAAUGUACUCUACAAUAAGAACACAAAAUUAAGAUGAAUUAACGUGAAGACAAUUAAGUGUGGACUUUAAACUGGUUGUCCAUCUUUCCUUUCUAAGGCCCUUCUCAUCAUACUUGAAUACUUUGCUGAAGAAGACUGUAAAAGAAGGAAUCUAUGGCUACUAUAGAGUAAGUUAAUAACUAUUCUUUGAUCAGACUAACCUAAAGCACUUAGUAGCUCAUUUCUAAGAUAAAGGACCAUGAGAUCAACAUAAAGAGUUUCCUACUGAAAACGCAACAAAUCAAGAAAAGAGGAAGGGUAAAUAAACACUUUGUGCUUCCUCAAAAUUGUCACGUAUACUCUCUAAUAAGAUAGAUCAAUAGUAGAAAAGAUGAAUAAUCUCAACAAUUUCUAUUGAAGUUACUAACGUUUCAAAUCUCAUUAAGUUUCUGAGUAAUCCAUAUGCUUUCAAGGCUUAAAUACAUAUUGAGAUGACGAUAAAUAUGAGGAAAAUAACUUUUAUAUGAAUUAUGUUUGUGUAGAAAUCAAUAUGAAUGUGGAAAAGAGUUUAGAACUAAUUGAAUGAUUUUGAUGGCCUGAUGAGUGAAUUGAGAAGAACUAAAACAUGAUAUCUUUCUCAAACCUCCCUCACAAUGUGAGCUCAUAUCGUGAGAGAUAUUGGUUGAUUGGCCAGGACGUGGGCCUUGUCACAGGGCAACACAAGACACUUCAUUUGAACAUGAAUAUGUUAACACUUUAAGAGUGAAUCUAUUUUCAAGCUCAAUUACUAUCCUUCAUGUCCUGAUAUUCAAGAAUUCAAUGCCAAAAAAUUGAUUGGAUUUGGAGAAAAUACUGAUCCACAAAUCAGAUCGAUAUUAAGAUCCAACAACACAUCCGACCUUCAAAUUUUACUCAAAAAUGACCACGGAAUUUCUGUACCACCUGAUCAUUUUGAUUGUAGUUAAACUCAAUAAUUAAUGUGAUGAAAUAUCCCCUAUCUUUUAUGGAUAAUAUAUUGAUCUUAUCUUAGCAUGCUAGCCGCUACUUCAUUUCGUUUUUAAUAUGCCUUACUUAAAAUGUUGCAAAAGUAUUAAGUUACUAUGUUUAUUUUGCACACAUUUAUUAAUUCAUUGAUGCUUAUUAUUGUAUCAAAGCUGGUGCAACUGUGCAGGCAUGAGGAAAAUGCAUUAAAAUGAAUGUAUUCCAGGGAAAGUAAGCGAAAUUUGCAGUACUAUUAUUACCUGUCCUUUGUCGUUCUCGUCCUCGUCAUCAUUAUAAUCAUGACCUCAAGAAUGCCUCUCAGAAUCUUUGUCUACAUAAUCGACUUUCCUGCCAGUUUAAUGGAUGAGGAGAGGAAAAUGAAUGGUCCUUUUAUAACUUAGUAUAGACCUCGACUUAAUGACUAUAGCAGUGCUAUAAUGUCAUACGAAACUUAGAAUGUACAUUUUGUAAAGAAGGCACUUUUAUGAACUCAUGGAAGAAUAUAUUUUAAUAAACUCAAGGAAGGUUCAGCUUCUUUGCUAGAAUACAAAAAUAAUACAAAAUUCUGUCGUAGUCAGAUACUACAAGACAUUUAUAAAGUACUUGUUACUAUUAGGCAUUUGAUUCGAAAAUAAGAUUAAAUUAUUUCUAGAAAGCUCCAUUACCUGCAAGUCAUCAAGACUCUCACCAUAUUUUGGAUUCAAAUAAGUAAAUUACUGAAUAAUAGACUAUUUGCCAUAACUUCAAGAACUUCCUGCCAACGUAGCUAUAGAAUUAAUUUAAAAGAAAACUGUAAGUCUGUAACUUUGACUUUUUCAAACGUACUUCUGAAGCUAUUAUAUCAUCAUAAAUCAUUUAUAUACCACAAUAAUUGCACAAGUGCUUAACUAUUUUACUGUUCUUUUUCGUCGGUGAGAACCGUAAAACUUUAGAAAUGCAUAUUGAGUUGCGAUUGUCAUGCCAGAACACUUAUUAUAUGGACAUACUGAGUUGCCAAUUUUGAACAUGCUCUUUUGCUAAUCAUCUACUUUCAAGUUGUCCCUUACUUUGCUACAUAUUGAAUAGGUUUGCUGAAGCCAACUCAUUAAAAGUGAAAGGUACAUGUGUCCCUACACUUGCAGGAUUAUGUCCUCGGAACACAAAACUCUAAUGUAGUUGUUAUGUUCUUGAUCUUUUUAAAAUUCAGAAAUUGGGUAAAGUAUCAUCUUUAGUGUGGUUUCUAAAUCUGUAAUGUUUAAUUUCAAGAAAUAAAUAAACCAAAAUCGUAUGCUAGAUGAUCAUCUAGUGAAUCCUCCUAAAGCACAGUUGGGUGAUACAAUUUCGAAGGAGAUAGUACAUUAGUUAAUUGCCUUAUUCUCGCUCCCAGUCAAGAUUACUAUUACCUAUGAAAUUGGAAAGCCAUAGGUGAAGAAAUUAAAUGCUAUUCUUAGCUCAUUUUCUGAGAUACAAACACUUUGAACUGAAAACUCUGAUUGAUAUCAUGCUACUAAAAUAGAUUAUACAAACAUUUACACUGGUUAUCUGGAGUAUAUUAAUGCAUAAAAAUAACACUUCAAGCAUACCUCGCCCCAAGUAUUUCUGAAUAAAUUAUGAGCCAAUAAACAUUAUGAAGGUCAUGGUGGUAUGAUGUACUACGGCCUUUGCAAGAACAGUUUUUGCUCUAGUACCUUUAGGCUUUAACCAAACCGAUAAACAGAAAAGUCAAAGUUCGAAGGAAAAAUUAGUGGUCGCUAAGGCUUACGAUCUCUAGGGAUUGAAAACAAUGCUUAGCCAACAGAAGUUUCUUUUGUCUACAUCCACUUCAAGGAACUGACAAAACUCAAGUAGUGACGCAAGGCCAUUGACUCUUAAGUUUCAUAUGUUAUCUCCCUUCUUUUCUUUCUCUUUAGUACUUGUCUUAUGCCUCUAGUAUCAAAAGCUUUGUUACAACAACAAUAGUUAGUAUCUUAUUUUCCCCAGACACACUAACAAAAAAGAAUCAUAGAAUCCAUGGAUGAAGAAGUAAACCAUUGAAAAAAUAUUGAAAUAAAGCCAAUAAUCUAGUUUAAUAGAAAGCACCAAUAGAUAAGAAAUUAGAGGGAUGAAAUCAAAUCAUUAACCUUACCAUCGAAUAGCCAAAAGCUAUUGAAGGGUAAUAAUGAGAUCUUUUUGAAGCUUCAAAAGGAUUGCCUAGACCCCCUCUAGAAAGUAAAACCAGAACUAUAGAGUAAACUAAAGUGAAUUUCAGUUAUUUUCAUACAGACAGAGUAAUACGACAUAGUACAUACAUUCUAGAAAAGUAACAAUUUUUUGUUCACCAAUUCAAAGUUCAAAGGAAAAAAGCAUAAAAUGUUACCUCAAAGUAAAAUUUGUGAUCUUAACAUCCCUUAUAUCUGGUAGCUGAAUAAACCUAUAUUAGCAAAAUGGUUGUUCAGUUCAACAACUUAUACUACUUGAUUUAUGAGUGAAAGGUAGAACUGUAAAUGUUAAUUGGUUGUUCAAUAUUGAAACAACACCUUCACAUGUACAUUUUUUGACACACAGUUCGGUAGCAACCAGCUAUAUCUGAAAUCAAUCUAAUUACAAAUUAAAACAUAACUGCAGCUUCAACAAUAACAGUCUAAUCUAGCCUCUGUUUAAAAUAUUGAUAUUAAACAUGCAUGCAUCAAUGUGGUAUUCCAACAACAGUAACCACAAGCAACAAGCAUCUGAUGACCUUAUAAAGAAGUCAGAACAUUACAUUUUCAAUUGAUACUUCCUCUAAUCAAAACUUAAAAUGGACACCAAACCUUAAGCGAUAUUUGUAGAAGCCGUUAAAUUGGUUGAGCAAACAGUAAAUGCGCACAAAUAUAUUAAUUGAAAUAAGUAAUAUGAGGGUGUUUUUUCAUGAAUAUAAUUAAGUGCAACAUUCUUAUAUUGCAGGAGACACUCCAAAAUUAGUUUUAAAGCUUAUGGGGAUGAAGGAGUAACCUUGUAGCACUUAAAGUGUGUAAUGUUCUAGCAAAGAGAGUUCGGGCUAGAGCGUACGCAGACAUUACCCCUACCUCAGGGAGGUAGAGAGGUUGUUUCCAAAUGACCCCACGACUCAAGUGCUAAAAAAUACAAUUGAAUGAAAAAUUUCAAACUUAUACUGUUGUUAUAUAUAAAAUAUUUCUUUUCAAGAACAGAUUGAAAGCGAAAAAGUAUCAAAUAAUAUGAAUGGGUCGAUGAACAUAUUGUAAUUCCAUGGUAAAUGUGUUUAACCUUGUAGAGUUGAAAAGACGAAGUCGGUGACAAACUCUAUUGGUAGUUUCCAUUAACCUUUGGUAACUUGGAUGAAACAACAAUAUCUCUUCCGAUACCGAAUAGCUAGUGCACAAAUUUAACGUACGAAUUAUGAGCUCGGCAACUCCUUCCCCCCUCAACAACUUCAUCACAUCUUUCUCCAAAUGUUUUUUUUGAGAAGGUAACAGUCUACAUCUUUCUCCUAAUGUCAGCAACCAUUUUCCCCACUAGACAUAUCGAAUAUAAAUGCGGUUGAUCAAUUGGAGCAGUUCAACCUGAAAAUUCUCAAACUUUAUUUCCUAGAUUUUAGAAGGAAAGUUAUUGUUUAUCAAAGUAUAUAAAUGGGAUUUCUAUUCAACUAUUUUAGCAUAAAACUGGUCAACUUCAAGGUUUAAUAAUGCCCCUCCUAUAUAUCCAGUUGCUAGACACCUAAUUGGUAUGAUCAUCCUCUCAUUCUUCAAUAGGCAGGGUCGCAGGGAUAACACUAUAGCUCAGAACAGAAGAAAUAACUCAUAUAAUAGUAUUCUUAGGAGAAAUCUGAAUGCCUGGGGAGUUAGAAGGUAUGACAGAAUAUCUCAGAGUGCUAUCCAAUCACCAGUGUCCAAGCCACCCUACACUAACGUCGAAAAUGCACCAGCACAAGUAUCUCGUAACUCUACGCCACCUUACCAAGCUCGACAAUGCACCAACACAAGUAUUUGGUUACUCUACCCACUAACCUUUAAGCAAAUAGAAGAAGAAAUACCUAUAGUGUUUUCAACUUGAAUUUGACAUUCCAAAAGCACUAUGUUAUUCGAUUUUUUGGGAUAAAUGAAAAUAGCUUCUUGUGAUUUUGAAAAAGAACAAUCGAAAGGAAAUACUAACUUUUUAUUAAUGAACACAUACAUAUACCCAAACGGAAAACAACAACGAAAACACAGUAUUGAAACAAAAGAAGAUGGAUAUACUUAUUUGAGAGACCAAAGUUCAAUGCAUACCACAAUGAAAGAUAGAUACACUUAUUUCAUAGACUAAAGUUCAGUUCAUACCACAAUGAACUAUAUUCACAUGACCUACAAAGGAUGAGAGCAAGAAAUAGAGAGAAAUAACUCAACGUGUGCAAUAUUACUCAAUUUAACAGAAACACAAAAGAUGGAAAAAAUCAAAAAGAAACUCAACAGAAAUAAUAGAACAGUCUGAUGCGAAGACGGAGGAAAAUUGAGGUAAAAUCCGAGGUGAGGUACAAAUGAUUGCAGAAGAACUCUAAAUAGCAAAGAGCAAAUAUGUAACUGAAUUUGAUCAUUCAUCAAAUAACACAAAAUUCAAAAUCUGAUGCUUUUGAAUCUGAAGACAUUAUAC